The sequence is a transfer RNA, 72 nucleotides long. It matches the Rfam family "tRNA". Rfam says of the family: Transfer RNA (tRNA) molecules are approximately 80 nucleotides in length. The record is from Rfam.
GCUGUGGUAGCUCAGUGGUAGAGCGCACCCUUGGUAAGGGUGAGGUCGGGAGUUCAAUCCUCCCUCACAGCA